CCACGUGCCAAAGGAUGAGCCCAUGUCUGAUUAGCUAGUUGGUGAGGUAAUGGCUCACCAAGGCGACGAUCCAGUAGCCGGCCUGAGAGGGUGGACGGCCACACUGGGACUGAGACACGGCCCAGACUCCUACGGGAGGCAGCAGUGGGGAAUAUUGGACAAUGGGGCAACCCUGAUCCAGCAAUGCCGCGUGUGUGAAGAAGGCCUGCGGGUUGUAAAGCACUUUUGUUGAGGAAGAAUGUGUUUGGGCUAAUAGUCCAAAUGCUUGACGUUACUCAAAGAAAAGCACCGGCUAACUCCGUG
Molecule: ribosomal RNA, 303 nt
Filed under: uncultured bacterium
Lineage: Bacteria
Description: bacterial SSU rRNA
Rfam family: Bacterial small subunit ribosomal RNA
Source: RNAcentral